AUGUAACACCCCGUUUUUCCAAUAUACAAAUUUCUUAAAUCAUUUAUCAGAGUAAGCAUCAUAAACAACGGGAUAUCACAUAUAACAUAAUCCAAAAUAGUUAAAUAAUAAUUUAACCCAAUAUCUUAAACAUUGCAGCGGAAAUUAUAUCAUAAUCAUAAAACGUUUUGGCACGCAGGCCCCGUCAAAAUAUUUUCAAAAGAGUUAGUUCAAUAAACAGAUAGCAUAGUAUUCACGUAAUAAAACGAAGCAUGCAUAACAUAUAGCCCCAUCCCGUUACGUAUCAGAGCGACCUAGACGACACAGUGAAGGCAAGGCCACUCACGACGNN
Molecule: long non-coding RNA, 331 nt
Filed under: Medicago truncatula (barrel medic)
Lineage: Eukaryota; Viridiplantae; Streptophyta; Magnoliopsida; Fabales; Fabaceae
Description: long non-coding RNA (MTRU_LNC006344)
Source: RNAcentral